RNAcentral lists this ribosomal RNA (253 nucleotides) under uncultured bacterium. RNAcentral's name for it is "partial 16S ribosomal RNA". It matches the Rfam family "Bacterial small subunit ribosomal RNA", at positions 524 to 776 of the family's 1533-position model. The record is from RNAcentral.
UACGUAGGGUGCGAGCGUUAAUCGGAAUUACUGGGCGUAAAGCGUGCGCAGGCGGUCCGCAAAGUCUGAUGUGAAAGCCCCGGGCUCAACCUGGGAACUGCAUUUGAUACUGGCGGGCUUGAAUCCGGGAGAGGGAUGCGGAAUUCCAGGUGUAGCGGUGAAAUGCGUAGAUAUCUGGAGGAACACCGGUGGCGAAGGCGGCAUCCUGGACCGGCAUUGACGCUGAGGCGCGAAAGCCAGGGGAGCAAACGGG